AUGAAGGCAUUAGGCAUUACAACAAAAGGAACAGAGCUGCUAUAUUUACAACAUGCUUUGUAUUAUUUUAUAUGGGAAAAUUUUGUUUUUGCCACUCUAGAUUUUGUCAAUUUUUCUUAUGCCACUCUAGAUUUUGACAUCUCGCUUUUGCCACUCUUAGUUUGUGACAAUUAUCACAAUUGCCAUUCUGUUAGGUCAAUGGAUGUUUUGACCAAACGGAGCAGGGAAAAGACCAUAUUGCCCUAUGUUAUUUGUUUUGCUUUUGACACUCCAGUUCUCGCCAAAUAUUGCUUUUGCCACUAG
This 303-nucleotide ribosomal RNA is filed under the name Triticum aestivum (bread wheat). Its description in RNAcentral is "partial small subunit ribosomal RNA". The record is from RNAcentral. Lineage: Eukaryota; Viridiplantae; Streptophyta; Magnoliopsida; Poales; Poaceae.